This 226-nucleotide ribosomal RNA is filed under the name uncultured bacterium. Its description in RNAcentral is "partial 16S ribosomal RNA". It matches the Rfam family "Bacterial small subunit ribosomal RNA", at positions 109 to 334 of the family's 1533-position model. The record is from RNAcentral.
CGGAACACGUACAGAACCUUCCUUUAAGCGGGGGAUAGCCCAUAGAAAUGUGGAUUAAUACCCCAUAGUAAUAUUGACUGGCAUCAGUUGGUAUUUAAAGAUUUAUCACUUAAAGAUGGCUGUGCGGCUGAUUAGGUAGUUGGUGUGGGUAAUGGCCCACCAAGCCAGCGAUCAGUAACUGGUGUGAGAGCACGACCAGUCACACGGGCACUGAGACACGGGCCCG